GGGUUGUGAGGUUAAGCGACUAAGCGUACACGGUGGAUGCCCUGGCAGUCAGAGGCGAUGAAGGGCGUGCUAAUCUGCGAUAAGCGCCGGUAAGGUGAUAUGAACCGUUAUAACCGGCGAUACCCGAAUGGGGAAACCCAGUGUGACUCGUCACACUAUCAUUAACUGAAUCCAUAGGUUAAUGAGGCGAACCGGGGGAACUGAAACAUCUAAGUACCCCGAGGAAAAGAAAUCAACCGAGAUUCCCCCAGUAGCGGCGAGCGAACGGGGAGGAGCCCAGAGCCUGAAUCAGCAUGUGUGUUAGUGGAAGCGUCUGGAAAGGCGCGCGAUACAGGGUGACAGCCCCGUACACAAAAGCGCAUGUGCUGUGAGCUCGAUGAGUAGGGCGGGACACGUGGUAUCCUGUCUGAAUAUGGGGGGACCAUCCUCCAAGGCUAAAUACUCCUGACUGACCGAUAGUGAACCAGUACCGUGAGGGAAAGGCGAAAAGAACCCCGGCGAGGGGAGUGAAAAAGAACCUGAAACCGUGUACGUACAAGCAGUGGGAGCACCCUUUGGGGUGUGACUGCGUACCUUUUGUAUAAUGGGUCAGCGACUUAUAUUCUGUAGCAAGGUUAACCGUAUAGGGGAGCCGGAGGGAAACCGAGUCUUAACCGGGCGUUAAGUUGCAGGGUAUAGACCCGAAACCCGGUGAUCUAGCCAUGGGCAGGUUGAAGGUUGGGUAACACUAACUGGAGGACCGAACCGACUAAUGUUGAAAAAUUAGCGGAUGACCUGUGGCUGGGGGUGAAAGGCCAAUCAAACCGGGAGAUAGCUGGUUCUCCCCGAAAGCUAUUUAGGUAGCGCCUCGUGAAUUCAUCUCCGGGGGUAGAGCACUGUUUCGGCUAGGGGGCCAUCCCGGCUUACCAACCCGAUGCAAACUGCGAAUACCGGAGAAUGUUAUCACGGGAGACACACGGCGGGUGCUAACGUCCGUCGUGAAGAGGGAAACAACCCAGACCGCCAGCUAAGGUCCCAAAGUCAUGGUUAAGUGGGAAACGAUGUGGGAAGGCCCAGACAGCCAGGAUGUUGGCUUAGAAGCAGCCAUCAUUUAAAGAAAGCGUAAUAGCUCACUGGUCGAGUCGGCCUGCGCGGAAGAUGUAACGGGGCUAAACCAUG
This 1158-nucleotide ribosomal RNA is filed under the name Salmonella enterica subsp. enterica serovar Brandenburg. Its description in RNAcentral is "partial 23S ribosomal RNA". It matches the Rfam family "Bacterial large subunit ribosomal RNA", at positions 1 to 1191 of the family's 2925-position model. Lineage: Bacteria; Pseudomonadati; Pseudomonadota; Gammaproteobacteria; Enterobacterales; Enterobacteriaceae. The record is from RNAcentral.